AACGCUGGCGGCGUGCCUAAUACAUGCAAGUCGAGCGAACAGACGAGGAGCUUGCUCCUCUGACGUUAGCGGCGGACGGGUGAGUAACACGUGGAUAACCUACCUAUAAGACUGGGAUAACUUCGGGAAACCGGAGCUAAUACCGGAUAAUAUAUUUAACCGCAUGGUUCAAUAGUGAAAGACGGUUUUGCUGUCACUUAUAGAUGGAUCCGCGCCGCAUUAGCUAGUUGGUAAGGUAACGGCUUACCAAGGCAACGAUGCGUAGCCGACCUGAGAGGGUGAUCGGCCACACUGGAACUGAGACACGGUCCAGGCUCCUACGGGAGGCAGCAGUAGGGAAUCUUCCGCAAUGGGCGAAAGCCUGACGGAGCAACGCCGCGUGAGUGAUGAAGGUCUUCGGAUCGUAAAACUCUGUUAUUAGGGAAGAACAAAUGUGUAAGUAACUAUGCACGUCUUGACGGUACCUAAUCAGAAAGCCACGGCUAACUACGUG
Molecule: ribosomal RNA, 493 nt
Filed under: uncultured bacterium
Lineage: Bacteria
Description: partial 16S ribosomal RNA
Rfam family: Bacterial small subunit ribosomal RNA
Source: RNAcentral